AUGGCGGCGAUGAAGCAGCAGGCUCCGGAGAGCGUGCAGGGGAGGAAGGAGUUCCUGGUGGAGGUGCUGAUGCUGACGGUGCUCAGCCAGCCUAACUUCGUCAGCCUGGUCGGCUUCUGCGCACAGGGGGACGAGCGCCUGCUACUGCUUUCAAAGGUGGGGCAUGGGCUCACAGGUGAGGCCACUAGCGGUUCAACUUUGCACAUACAAGAAAACAAAAUCAAGGCACAAAUUGGACUGACAAAUGCUGACAGAGGAGGAGAACACCAUGCAAGUACGUAUGUGCCAAAAUUGAUAGAUUUACCUCUAGGCAUUGCAUUAUUUGCCGCAGUGUAG
RNAcentral lists this ribosomal RNA (336 nucleotides) under Triticum aestivum (bread wheat). RNAcentral's name for it is "partial small subunit ribosomal RNA". The record is from RNAcentral. Lineage: Eukaryota; Viridiplantae; Streptophyta; Magnoliopsida; Poales; Poaceae.